This 1066-nucleotide ribosomal RNA is filed under the name uncultured bacterium. RNAcentral's name for it is "bacterial SSU rRNA". It matches the Rfam family "Bacterial small subunit ribosomal RNA", at positions 338 to 1398 of the family's 1533-position model. The record is from RNAcentral.
CCUACGGGGGGCAGCAGUGGGGAAUAUUGCACAACGGGGGAAACCCUGAUGCAGCCAUGCCGCGUGUGUGAAGAAGGCCUUCGGGUUGUAAAGCACUUUCAGCAGCGAGGAAAAGUUAGUAGUUAAUACCUGCUAGCCUUGACGUUAACUGCAGAAGAAGCACCGGCUAACUCCGUGCCAGCAGCCGCGGUAAUACGGAGGGUGCAAGCGUUAAUCGGAAUUACUGGGCGUAAAGCGCAUGCAGGCGGUCUGUUAAGCCAGAUGUGAAAGCCCGGUGCUCAACCCCGGAAUAGCAUUUGGAACUGGCAGACUAGAGUUUUGUAGAGGGGGGUAGAAUUUCAGGUGUAGCGGUGAAAUACGUAAGAUCUGAAGGAAUACCAGUGGCGAAGGCGGCCCCCUGGACAAAAACUGACGCUCAGAUGCGAAAGCGUGGGUAGCAAACAGGAUUAGAUACCCUGGUAGUCCACGCUGUAAACGAUGUCAACUAGCUGCUUGUGACUUUAAGUCGUGGGUGGCGGAGCUAACGCAUUAAGUAGACCGCCUGGGGAGUACGGCCGCAAGGUUAAAACUCAAAUGAAUUGACGGGGGCCCGCACAAGCGGUGGAGCAUGUGGUUUAAUUCGAUGCAACGCGAAGAACCUUACCAUCCCUUGACAUCCAGCGAAUUUUCUAGAGAUAGAUUAGUGCCUUCGGGAACGCUGAGACAGGUGCUGCAUGGCUGUCGUCAGCUCGUGUUGUGAAAUGUUGGGUUAAGUCCCGCAACGAGCGCAACCCUUGUCCUUAUUUGCCAGCACUUCGGGUGGGAACUUUAAGGAGACUGCCGGUGAUAAACCGGAGGAAGGUGGGGACGACGUCAAGUCAUCAUGGCCCUUACGGGAUGGGCUACACACGUGCUACAAUGGUCGGUACAAAGUGCUGCGAGCUCGCGAGAGUCAGCGAAUCACUUAAAGCCGGUCGUAGUCCGGAUUGGAGUCUGCAACUCGACUCCAUGAAGUCGGAAUCGCUAGUAAUCGUAGAUCAGAAUGCUACGGUGAAUACGUUCCCGGGCCUUGUACACACCGCCCGUC